UGCUUAUUUUGCCCAGGCGGAGCUCGACCGCCCACUGAAGCGAUGGUUACCUUCAUCGAUGAACAUCGUUCCGUACUUGGGCCAAUGUCGGAUAUUGGGCCGAUCUGCAGGCUUCUGCCGAUUGCCCCA
This is a regulatory RNA element of 129 nucleotides. It matches the Rfam family "ALIL pseudoknot". The record is from Rfam.